This 505-nucleotide ribosomal RNA is filed under the name uncultured bacterium. RNAcentral's name for it is "bacterial SSU rRNA". It matches the Rfam family "Bacterial small subunit ribosomal RNA", at positions 21 to 518 of the family's 1533-position model. The record is from RNAcentral.
GGCUUAGGAUGAACGCUAGCGACAGGCCUAACACAUGCAAGGUCGAGGGGCAGCACAAGGAGCAAUCUGAGGUGGCGACCGGCGCACGGGCGAGUAACACGUAUGCAACCUGCCUGUAAGCGGGGAAUAACCCGUUGAAAGACGGACUAAUACCGCAUAAUACUAAAUUACUGCAUGGUAAUUUAUUUAAACAUUUAUGGCUUACAGAUGGGCAUGCGCAUGAUUAGCUAGUUGGAGAGGUAACGGCUCCCCAAGGCAACGAUCAUUAGGGGUUCUGAGAGGAAGGUCCCCCACACUGGUACUGAGACACGGACCAGACUCCUACGGGAGGCAGCAGUGAGGAAUAUUGGUCAAUGGACGAGAGUCUGAACCAGCCAAGUCGCGUGCAGGAAGAAUGUCCUUAAUGGAUUGUAAACUGCUUUUGCAGGGGAAUAAAGUGCAUCACGUGUGAUGUUUUGUAUGUACUCUGCGAAUAAGGAUCGGCUAACUCCGUGCCAGCCGCUGC